AAACUUCGGGGCUCACAAAGUUCACUGCAAUCGUCACACGGCCUCCGUUUGCGAAAGGGGGACGCUUUUCAGACGCAGCGAAGGAACAACGAAGAAGCUUAUUCACGUAGUUGUGAGCCCUUCGCGGAGGCCCUGUCAAAGAAGGCGAGGUGCAGAAGCGAAUCAAGUGUUUGACGAGGACUUGUGGUGGUGUAGGGGUCCGAGCUGGACGCCGAGGGCAGCCUGCAAAAAAUGACUAUGCCUGACUCCGAUGAGGGGUCACGAUAACAUGAAAAUUUGUUGCAUGCCUGGGGCAUGCCUACAGAGAAAACAUUCAUGUGACGAGUGACGUGAAAGACAGAGAAAGUUUCGGAAAUAAAGGUGACUGCGCUUGAGAA
Long non-coding RNA from Rhipicephalus microplus (southern cattle tick), 377 nucleotides. RefSeq lists it as uncharacterized. Lineage: Eukaryota; Metazoa; Arthropoda; Arachnida; Ixodida; Ixodidae. The record is from RefSeq and is a predicted model, not a curated record.